AUUGAACGCUGGCGGCAGGCCUAACACAUGCAAGUCGAGCGGUAGCACAGAGAGCUUGCUCUCGGGUGACGAGCGGCGGACGGGUGAGUAAUGUCUGGGAAACUGCCUGAUGGAGGGGGAUAACUACUGGAAACGGUAGCUAAUACCGCAUAACGUCGCAAGACCAAAGUGGGGGACCUUCGGGCCUCAUGCCAUCAGAUGUGCCCAGAUGGGAUUAGCUAGUAGGUGGGGUAACGGCUCACCUAGGCGA
Molecule: ribosomal RNA, 250 nt
Filed under: uncultured bacterium
Lineage: Bacteria
Description: partial 16S ribosomal RNA
Rfam family: Bacterial small subunit ribosomal RNA
Source: RNAcentral